Molecule: long non-coding RNA, 160 nt
Organism: Maniola jurtina (meadow brown)
Lineage: Eukaryota; Metazoa; Arthropoda; Insecta; Lepidoptera; Nymphalidae
Exons: 2
Source: RefSeq, a predicted model, not a curated record
AAUCCACGCGGGCGAAGCUGCGGGCAUCAGCUAGUAUGUUAUGCAUUACGUAUGGAGAGUAUAUUAUAGUAAUACACUUAGUCCAGAAACUACAGUAGUUUACUGUUUAAUGUACAGGGCAGUAUUUUGUUCAUAAAACGUAAAAAUAGCUCCAGAAACU